RNAcentral lists this ribosomal RNA (255 nucleotides) under uncultured bacterium. RNAcentral describes it as "partial 16S ribosomal RNA". It matches the Rfam family "Bacterial small subunit ribosomal RNA", at positions 524 to 776 of the family's 1533-position model. The record is from RNAcentral.
GACGGAGGGUGCUAGCGUUGUCCGGAAUCACUGGGCGUAAAGGGCGCGCAGGCGGCCCCCGCCCGUCGGGCGUGAAAGCCCGGGGCUCAACCCCGGAACGGCGCCCGAGACGGCGGGGCUGGAGACCGGGAGAGGAGGGUGGAAUAGCCAGUGUAGAGGUGAAAUUCGUAGAUAUUGGCUGGAACACCGGUGGCGAAAGCGGCUCUCUGGCCCGGGUCUGACGCUGAGGCGCGAAAGCGGUGGGGAGCAAACAGG